Molecule: ribosomal RNA, 253 nt
Filed under: uncultured bacterium
Lineage: Bacteria
Description: partial 16S ribosomal RNA
Rfam family: Bacterial small subunit ribosomal RNA
Source: RNAcentral
UACAGAGGGUGCGAGCGUUGUCCGGAAUCACUGGGCGUAAAGGGCGCGUAGGUGGUGACCUAAGCGUGCGGUGAAAGCCCGAGGCUCAACCUCGGGUCGGCCGUGCGAACUGGGUCACUGGAGCAGAAUAGAGGCAGGUGGAAUUCCGGGUGUAGCGGUGGAAUGCGUAGAGAUCCGGAAGAACACCGGUGGCGAAGGCGGUCUGCUGGGCAGUAGCUGACGCUGAUGCGCGACAGCGUGGGGAGCAAACAGG